Molecule: transfer RNA, 76 nt
Filed under: Brevibacillus choshinensis
Lineage: Bacteria; Bacillati; Bacillota; Bacilli; Caryophanales; Paenibacillaceae
Description: tRNA-Asn
Rfam family: tRNA
About the family: Transfer RNA (tRNA) molecules are approximately 80 nucleotides in length. Their secondary structure includes four short double-helical elements and three loops (D, anti-codon, and T loops).
Source: RNAcentral
UCCUCGGUAGCUCAGUUGGUAGAAUAAUCGGGUGUUAACCGAUCGGUCGGAGGUUCGAGUCCGUCCCGAGGAGCCA